AUGCCGCCGCCGCCACGACAGGACUUCCCGGCGUUCCCUUUCGCGCCGUACCCGAUCCAGACGGAGUUCUUGUCCUUCCUUUACAACGCCCUCUUCUCCGGGCCCCGCGCCCUCGCCCUCCUCGAAAACCCCAAGCUCUGCCGCCUUCCCCUCACCCCCUCACAAGCCACCGGCACCGAAAAGACCCCCAGCAUCAUCUGCAGUGCACUCCAGUGGCUCCUUAACCACCGCGACGCCGCCUCGCGGGGCCACUCUGAACGGGCCAAUGGCUCCGCCCCUGCCGCUGUCGGCGGCGAAGAAGAAGAGCCCGACUGGAUGCGGGAUUUCACGCUGCAGCCGCUGCCCCCUAAGGGCAUCUUCAAUGGUUGUAAGAUAGUUAAGUGGGAGACUCACCCGUACAGGAGUCAUGGAACGAAGAAAGUGGGGGGUUCGGAGAAAUCUGAGGGAAUUCGGGAGAAUGACAGCGAGGAGAAAUUUUUGCUUGACGAGUACGAGAGCGAUGACGGGGAGAGCACAGGAUGGCAGGCCGGGAAGCGGGCACAUUGUGGUGGUGCUAGUAGUAGUAGCGAGAGCGAGGCGACUCCCAAGGUGUAUUUCACUAGCCGUACGCAUUCGCAGCUCUCGCGGUUUGUCCGGGAGCUCAAAAGGACGAAUUUCUCAGGGAAGCUCAGGACAGUGUGCUUGGGGUCCAGAAAGAGCUUGUGUAUUAACAUGGAUGUUCAGAAGCUCGGGAGUGCAAACCGGAUCAACAAGAGGUGCUUGGAACUGCUAAAGAACAAGAAGAGCAACAAAAUUAAGUUCAGGAGUGAAGUGUCCGACCAUGGUGCAUUGGACAUUGAGGAUUUGGCACAACUUGGAAGGAAGAUUGGAACAUGUCCCUACGGUGCACGUGACAUGGUCCGCUCAGCUGACCUUGUAGUACUUUUUUAUCAGUCUUUGUUGCUGAAGUCUGCUAGAGAGUUACUUGGCCUUAAUAUGAAGAACAGUGUUGUCAUCAUAGAUGAGGCUCACAACUUAGCAGACUCCCUUACUAGCAUGUACAACUCAAAGGUCGAAUCUUCUCAGAAUGUUCUGGGAGCUGGAAAUCGGCGUUACAUCCAGACCUUGACAGUUCUAACACGGUCAUUCCUACGAUGUUUGAUAAGUAAUGAAGAUUGUUCCUCCGCUGUGACCUCUAUGACUAUAAAUAAGUUCUUAUUCUCCCUUGAUAUUGAUAACAUAAACAUAGUAAAACUUUGUCAGUAUCUGAAGGAAAGCAAUAUAGUCCACAAGAUCGAAGAUCUUGGACCUUUUCUUUGCAAUAUAGUGACAAUAGUACCAAAAGGAAUAGUAAUAUUUUCUCUUCCUAUGAAUAUGAAAAGCAAUGUUAACGGGGCACUUUUAUUGGCUGUUGUCGGUGGGAAGAUAUCUGAAGGUAUAAACUUCAGUGAUGGUAUGGGUCGUUGUGUUCUGAUGGUUGGAUUGCCGUAUCCAAGUCCAGAUGAUAUGGAACUGAUGGAGACAAUAAAACACAUCGGAAACUAUUCUACCUCAUCUCCUAGCUUUGAUGUACUAAGGAAGAGCGGUAAAAGUGGCCGAGAGUACUAUGAGAACUUAUGCAUGAAAGCUGUGAAUCAGUCUAUCGGUAGAGAAAUCAGGCAUGUAAAUGACUAUGUUGCAAUGCUGUUGGUUGACUCAUGUUAUGCAAACACCUCAUCAAGCAGGGGUUUCUCUUGCCCCGUUGAAAAGCUACCCCAGUGGAUAAGGACACGACUAACUUGCAGUCAAAACUAUGGGGAAGUUCAUAGAUUGUUGCUUCAGUUUUUCAAAAUCAACAAACAAAUACAUUGA
This 1830-nucleotide ribosomal RNA is filed under the name Triticum aestivum (bread wheat). RNAcentral's name for it is "partial small subunit ribosomal RNA". Lineage: Eukaryota; Viridiplantae; Streptophyta; Magnoliopsida; Poales; Poaceae. The record is from RNAcentral.